GAUGAACGCUGGCGGCAGGCUUAACACAUGCAAGUCGAACGGAUCCUUCGGGAUUAGUGGCAGACGGGUGAGUAACGCGUGGGAACGUACCCUUUGCUACGGAAUAACUCAGGGAAACUUGAGCUAAUACCGUAUGUGCCCUACGGGGGAAAGAUUUAUCGGCAAAGGAUCGGCCCGCGUUGGAUUAGCUAGUUGGUGGGGUAAUGGCCUACCAAGGCGACGAUCCAUAGCUGGUCUGAGAGGAUGAUCAGCCACACUGGGACUGAGACACGGCCCAGACUCCUACGGGAGGCAGCAGUGGGGAAUAUUGGACAAUGGGCGCAAGCCUGAUCCAGCCAUGCCGCGUGAGUGAUGAAGGUCUUAGGAUUGUAAAGCUCUUUCACCGGUGAAGAUAAUGACGGUAGCCGGAGAAGAAGCCCCGGCUAACUUCGUG
Molecule: ribosomal RNA, 433 nt
Filed under: uncultured bacterium
Lineage: Bacteria
Description: partial 16S ribosomal RNA
Rfam family: Bacterial small subunit ribosomal RNA
Source: RNAcentral